RNAcentral lists this unclassified non-coding RNA (261 nucleotides) under Bionectriaceae sp. RNAcentral's name for it is "partial contains 5.8S ribosomal RNA, internal transcribed spacer 2, and large subunit ribosomal RNA". Lineage: Eukaryota; Fungi; Ascomycota; Sordariomycetes; Hypocreales; Bionectriaceae. The record is from RNAcentral.
CGCACAUUGCGCCCGCCAGUAUUCUGGCGGGCAUGCCUGUCUGAGCGUCAUUUCAACCCUCACGCCCCCCUGGGCGUGGUGUUGGGGACCGGCCGAGCCCUGCGAGGGGACGGCCGCCCCCUAAAUCUAGUGGCGGGACCGCUGUAGCCUCCUCCGCGUAGUAGUGAUACCCCGCGCGUGGAGAGCGGCGAGCCCCUGCCGUUAAACCCCCAACUUCUUCAGGUUGACCUCAGAUCAGGUAGGAAUACCCGCUGAACUUAA